This 404-nucleotide ribosomal RNA is filed under the name uncultured bacterium. RNAcentral's name for it is "bacterial SSU rRNA". It matches the Rfam family "Bacterial small subunit ribosomal RNA", at positions 355 to 776 of the family's 1533-position model. The record is from RNAcentral.
UAACGAAUCUUCCGCAAUGGGCGAAAGCCUGACGGAGCAAUGCCGCGUGUGGGAUGAAGCGGCUACGCCGUGUAAACCACUGUCAGGGGGCAGGAACAAUGACCGCCCCCAGAGGAAGAGCCGGCUAACCCUGUGCCAGCAGCCGCGGUAAUACAGGGGGCUCGAGCGUUAGUCGGAAUCACUGGGCUUAAAGGGUGCGUAGGUGGCUCGCCAAGUGUUUUGUGAAAUCCCACAGCUCAACUGUGGAACAGCAGGGCAAACUGGCGAGCUUGAGGCAGGUAGGGGCCGGAAGAACAGUUGGUGGAGCGGUGAAAUGCGUAGAUAUCAACUGGAAUGCCGAUGGGGAAGCCGUCCGGCUGGGCCUGUCCUGACACUGAGGCACGAAAGCGUGGGGAGCAAACAGG